CGAGUACCUUUCCUUUGAACCCACCUGCCUGCAAAUACGAUCCCUCUUGUCUUCGCGUGCUGGAAUUUCAUAGACAUGGAAACAGGGCCUGAGGUUUCACACGGGAACAAGGGUGGUGCUGGUUGCUGCUAGGGUAAACACCUGGUAGUAAACUAGUAACAUUAGCCACAUUUGCCAGCAGAGCAACCAAACGAAGACGAAAACUAAAAGACGCUUGGGAAACUUUUGGUACCUUUGAAGCCACCCGCCUGCCAAUGCGACCCCUCAUGUCCUCAUGCCGGAAAAUCAGGACUAAAUUGAAGCAUGGGUCCAACCAUGUCUCACUCAUUUUCAUGAGGAGUAUUUGGUUUGAAGGAGGUUGGUCAACCAUGAGCAAUCAUUCAGGGAGUAGCUCUCAUUUCCGCCAUCUGAUGGUUGUUGUUGUGAUCUCCAGCGGCGGUGGUGCACUUCCUUGUGUCUAGCACCAACAAGGCAGUGGGGUUAUCACCCCGUAAUAUUUGCGUCGGCUCCCACAACUGUCUUCUCGGUUCCCACCACUCAAGUCAAUCACAAUAGCAGCGAUGCAGGAAAGCUCCUUGACUUGAAAACGCUGGCACUCUUAGGAUGUGGAGCUGUCCUCCUCAGGCGGGUUGGCUGCAUAGUGAAUGAUCUUCUCGAUGGCGGCAUCGAUAACAAGGUGAUUUUGUUUGGUUUUUUCUGUAGUUUGUUCUGGAUGCGGACAACACC
Long non-coding RNA from Triticum dicoccoides, 726 nucleotides. RefSeq lists it as uncharacterized. Lineage: Eukaryota; Viridiplantae; Streptophyta; Magnoliopsida; Poales; Poaceae. The transcript is spliced from 5 exons. The record is from RefSeq and is a predicted model, not a curated record.